GCCGGUGUAGCUCAGUUGGUAGAGCAGCGCAUUCGUAAUGCGAAGGUCGGGGGUUCGACUCCUCUCACCGGCA
This is a transfer RNA of Thauera sp. 27, 73 nucleotides long. It matches the Rfam family "tRNA". Rfam says of the family: Transfer RNA (tRNA) molecules are approximately 80 nucleotides in length. The record is from Rfam. NCBI's taxonomy places the organism in Bacteria, Pseudomonadati, Pseudomonadota, Betaproteobacteria, Rhodocyclales, Zoogloeaceae.